RNAcentral lists this ribosomal RNA (292 nucleotides) under uncultured bacterium. Its description in RNAcentral is "partial 16S ribosomal RNA". It matches the Rfam family "Bacterial small subunit ribosomal RNA", at positions 505 to 796 of the family's 1533-position model. The record is from RNAcentral.
GUGUCAGCAGCCGCGGUAAUACGGAGGGUGCAAGCGUUAUCCGGAUUCACUGGGUUUAAAGGGUGCGUAGGUGGCUUUGUAAGUCAGUGGUGAAAGCCCGGAGCUUAACUCCGGAACUGCCAUUGAUACUGCUUAGCUUGAAUCAGGUCGAGGUGGAUGGAAUAUUACAUGUAGCGGUGAAAUGCUUAGAUAUGUAAUAGAACACCGAUUGCGAAGGCAGUUCACUAGGCCUGAAUUGACACUGAGGCACGAAAGCGUGGGGAUCAAACAGGAUUAGAAACCCCCGUAGUCC